Molecule: ribosomal RNA, 407 nt
Filed under: Verrucomicrobiota bacterium
Lineage: Bacteria; Pseudomonadati; Verrucomicrobiota
Description: Verrucomicrobia bacterium partial 16S ribosomal RNA
Rfam family: Bacterial small subunit ribosomal RNA
Source: RNAcentral
UGGGGAAUAUUGGACAAUGGACCAAGAGUCUGAUCCAGCAAUUCUGUGUGCACGAUGAAGUUUUUCGGAAUGUAAAGUGCUUUCAGUUGGGAAGAAAAAAAUGACGGUACCAACAGAAGAAGUGACGGCUAAAUACGUGCCAGCAGCCGCGGUAAUACGUAUGUCACGAGCGUUAUCCGGAUUUAUUGGGCGUAAAGCGCGUCUAGGUGGUUAUAUAAGUCUGAUGUGAAAAUGCAGGGCUCAACUCUGUAUUGCGUUGGAAACUGUAUAACUAGAGUACUGGAGAGGUAAGCGGAACUACAAGUGUAGAGGUGAAAUUCGUAGAUAUUUGUAGGAAUGCCGAUGGGGAAGCCAGCUUACUGGACAGAUACUGACGCUGAAGCGCGAAAGCGUGGGUAGCAAACAGG